Aptenodytes forsteri (emperor penguin) is the source of this 808-nucleotide long non-coding RNA. RefSeq lists it as uncharacterized. The transcript is spliced from 2 exons. Lineage: Eukaryota; Metazoa; Chordata; Aves; Sphenisciformes; Spheniscidae. The record is from RefSeq and is a predicted model, not a curated record.
UGGAGUCCCUCUGAUGACACCAUGAAUAUGGGAAUGAAGAACUUCUUGGAGCUGAUUGGAAAUGGCAUUGCGGAGCUGAAACUUAACUGGAGGAAAUAUAUCUCCUGAAGAAGAAUAUAUAAUGCAUUGUAAGGAUCUGACUUCUGGUGAAAAAUUCAAGCCCAGAGAAAACUUGUCCGCUUUGUUAGGAAGAAUGGGUUGGACAAUUUUCUUCAAUUCCAAAGGAUAUCUGAAUGCCAUGCUGAGCUUAAUCUCUGCAGCAUGCUCUGUGCUUCUCAUCUCUUCCUGAUGCACUGCAUGGUUAUCCUGAAGGGAAGGAUAAAGAAACUGGCCACCAAGAUGGUAAUCACUAGUGGAAAUGAAGAAGAUAAAGGGAGUCAAGAAAAGGAAAGCAAAGAAGAAACCAUCUUGGCAAUGCUUGGAAUUAUUGGGACAAUUCUGAACCUCAUUGUGAUCAUUUUUGUGUAUAUUUACACAACGUUGUAAACUAGAAGGCAUGCAAGUAGACCAGAUAAAAUGGCCAUUAAGAGUGACGACAAACAUUGCUGACUAUUGACAAGUUGUUUAAUCAGAAUUGACUGUGUAUUAUAUUAACACAUCAUAAAAGCACUGCCUGCAGGCAGUGAAGGCUGAAGCACAAUUAAUUUAACAAGACUUUUUCACACAGUAACAAGCUUAACUCUUCUGUCCUGCCCUCUUCCUUUCGGUUUGGGGGAAAAUGACUGCAAUUAUGUAAGUUGUAGCUUUGAAGAAAUCCACGAGGGAUAUGGUGUUUUAACACAAUUAAAAAAAGAAAGAAAGAAAGAAA